UACGGGGGGGGUAAGCGUUGUUCGGAAUUAUUGGGCGUAAAGAGCUUGUAGGCGGUUUGUCGCGUCUGCUGUGAAAAUCCGGGGCUCAACCCCGGACUUGCAGUGGGUACGGGCAGACUAGAGUGUGGUAGGGGAGACUGGAAUUCCUGGUGUAGCGGUGAAAUGCGCAGAUAUCAGGAGGAACACCGAUGGUGAAGGCAGGUCUCUGGGCCACUACUGACGCUGAGAAGCGAAAGCAUGGGGAGCGAACAGG
RNAcentral lists this ribosomal RNA (253 nucleotides) under uncultured bacterium. Its description in RNAcentral is "partial 16S ribosomal RNA". It matches the Rfam family "Bacterial small subunit ribosomal RNA", at positions 524 to 776 of the family's 1533-position model. The record is from RNAcentral.